RNAcentral lists this ribosomal RNA (497 nucleotides) under uncultured bacterium. RNAcentral's name for it is "partial 16S ribosomal RNA". It matches the Rfam family "Bacterial small subunit ribosomal RNA", at positions 28 to 507 of the family's 1533-position model. The record is from RNAcentral.
GAUGAACGCUGGCGGCGUGCCUAAUACAUGCAAGUCGAGCGAACAGACGAGGAGCUUGCUCCUCUGACGUUAGCGGCGGACGGGUGAGUAACACGUAGAUAACCUACCUAUAAGACUGGGAUAACUUCGGGAAACCGGAGCUAAUACCGGAUAAUAUUUUGAACCGCAUGGUUCAAUAGUGAAAGACGGCUUUGCUGUCACUUAUAGAUGGAUCUGCGCCGCAUUAGCUAGUUGGUAAGGUAACGGCUUACCAAGGCGACGAUACGUAGCCGACCUGAGAGGGUGAUCGGCCACACUGGAACUGAGACACGGUCCAGACUCCUACGGGAGGCAGCAGUAGGGAAUCUUCCGCAAUGGGCGAAAGCCUGACGGAGCAACGCCGCGUGAGUGAUGAAGGUCUUCGGAUCGUAAAACUCUGUUAUUAGGGAAGAACAAAUGUGUAAGUAACUAUGCACGUCUUGACGGUACCUAAUCAGAAAGCCACGGCUAACUACGUG